UAAAAGUAAGAACGUAAAAAGGAAAAAAAAACUUUGGCUGCUGGUGGCAGCUUUCAAUAGCUCCGAACGAUCGAUCUUUGUUCUUGUCAACUAUAUACAUCGUCCGAUCGGGGUCAAACUUAACACCAAAAUACUUUCAAUCGCAUCUUUGUCUUGUUCAUCUUAUAGUUGCUGCUCAGCUGCUAUUGAAAUAGAUCGUACAGGUUGUUGUUCAGCUGCUUGUGAAACAGAUCGUACAGAUGUAGUUGAAGGUUGAUGACUGCAGGUUGAAUUUCAGUCAAGUUGAAUUCAUAUAUUCUCCAUAGCGCUUCAGGCGGUGAGACCCAUCGCGCAUCUUGAAAUGUUUGUAUUUCUUCAAUAACAUUUUCACCAUCAUCAGACUGAACAUAAACUGCACACCGAUCAUGUCCUUUAUAUGUAUACAUGUAUAGAUACUUUAUUGCUUUGACUCCUGAGCAAACCUCAACAUUAAUGUGACAAUUGUAUCUUGUAAGCAGAUAAGGGCUAUAAGGUACUACCAUUGAUUUGUCAUAUACAUUCCACGAACAAUCUCUAUUCUUCCAUCCAUUCUUCUUUUAUAAAUUGGAUAUCCAUUUUUUGCUUUGA
This is a long non-coding RNA of Solanum pennellii, 606 nucleotides long. RefSeq lists it as uncharacterized. The transcript is spliced from 2 exons. The record is from RefSeq and is a predicted model, not a curated record. NCBI's taxonomy places the organism in Eukaryota, Viridiplantae, Streptophyta, Magnoliopsida, Solanales, Solanaceae.